GGGACAUGUACGUUGAGCCGAGCCUUCGGGCAAAGCGAAGAUAUAAAAUCCCUUCCUAUAAAAGCUCCAACAUUAAGCCCGUACCGCAAACCGACACAGGUAGUCAAGAUGAGUAUUCUAAGGAGCUCGAGUGAAUCACGGUUAAGGAACUCGGCAAAUUAACCCUGUAACUUCGGGAAAAGGGGUGCCUCGAGCAAUCGAGGCCGCAGAGAAAUGGCCCAGGCGACUGUUUAUCAAAAACACAUGGCUUUGCAAAAUCGAAAGAUGAAGUAUAAGGCCUGACACCUGCCCGGUGCCGGAAGGUUAAGAGGGGAUGUUAGCAGCAAUGCGAAGCAUUGAAUCGAAGCCCCGGUAAACGGCGGCCGUAACGAUAACGGUCCUAAGGUAGCGAAAUUCCUUGUCGGGUAAGUUCCGACCUGCACGAAUGGUGUAACGAUCUGGGCACUGUCUCAACCGUGAGCUCGGUGAAAUUGUGGUAUCGGUGAAGACGCCGGUUACCCGCUACGGGACGGAAAGACCCCAUGCACCUUUACUAUAGCUUUACAUUGACUUUGGGUAAAUAAUGUGUAGGAUAGGUGGGAGACUAUGAAGCAGGUGCGCUAGCAUUUGUGGAGUCAACGGUGAAAUACCACCCUUUAUUUAUUUGGAGUCUAACCCCGCUAAGCGGGGGACAUUGUAUGGUGGGUAGUUUGACUGGGGUGGUCGCCUCCAAAAAAAGUAUCGGAGGCUUCUAAAGGUUCGCUCAGUACGGUUGGUAACCGUACGCAGAGUGCAAUAGCAUAAGCGAGCUUGACUGUGAGGCCUACAAGCCGAGCAGGUACGAAAGUAGAGUAUAGUGAUCCGGUGGUUCUGAAUGGAAGAGCCAUCGCUCAUAGGAUAAAAGGUACGCUGGGGAUAACAGGCUGAUCUCCCCCAAGAGCUCAUAUCGACGGGGAGGUUUGGCACCUCGAUGUCGGCUCGUCACAUCCUGGGGCUGGAGAAGGUCCCAAGGGUUCGGCUGUUCGCCGAUUAAAGUGGCACGCGAGCUGGGUUCAGAACGUCGUGAGACAGUUCGGUCCCUAUCUGUAGUGGGCGUUAGAAAAUUGAGAAGAUCUGACUUUAGUACGAGAGGACCGGGUCGGACGUACCUCUGGUGUAUCUGUUGUUGUGCCAACGGCAUUGCAGAGUAGCUACGUACGGACAAGAUAAGCGCUGAAAGCAUCUAAGCGCGAAACUUACUUCAAGAUGAGUUUUCUUUAUAAGGGUCGUGGAAGACUACCACGUUGAUAGGCUGUAGAUGUAAAGGCAGUAAUGUCAAAGUCGAGCAGUACUAAUUACCC
RNAcentral lists this ribosomal RNA (1319 nucleotides) under metagenome. RNAcentral's name for it is "bacterial LSU rRNA". It matches the Rfam family "Bacterial large subunit ribosomal RNA", at positions 1554 to 2910 of the family's 2925-position model. The record is from RNAcentral.